GAUUUCGAGACAAAAGUUUGUUAUCUUAUAAAUAUUAGGAAAGAUGGCUCCGGUGAAGUUCGGCCUGUUCAAAGCUCGGAGCAGGGACUACCAGGAGCAGCCUUCCACUGAGAACUUGCUGCACACCAGUUAUAGCACAGACCAUGUGGGCACGCCGCAGUCUCCUAUACCUUCAACCAGUAAAGGUAUAACGGAAGAGCGGC
Long non-coding RNA from Manduca sexta (tobacco hornworm), 203 nucleotides. RefSeq lists it as uncharacterized. The record is from RefSeq and is a predicted model, not a curated record. NCBI's taxonomy places the organism in Eukaryota, Metazoa, Arthropoda, Insecta, Lepidoptera, Sphingidae. The transcript is spliced from 3 exons.